This 30-nucleotide non-coding RNA is filed under the name Histiona aroides. Lineage: Eukaryota; Jakobea; Jakobida; Histionidae. The record is from RNAcentral.
GGGGGUGUUAAUAAAUUCGACAUAGUAGCA